Molecule: ribosomal RNA, 465 nt
Filed under: Vreelandella stevensii
Lineage: Bacteria; Pseudomonadati; Pseudomonadota; Gammaproteobacteria; Oceanospirillales; Halomonadaceae
Description: partial 16S ribosomal RNA
Rfam family: Bacterial small subunit ribosomal RNA
Source: RNAcentral
CCUACGGGUUGUAUCCGUGGGGAAUAUUGGACAAUGGGGGGAACCCUGAUCCAGCCAUGCCGCGUGUGUGAAGAAGGCCCUCGGGUUGUAAAGAACUUUCAGUGAGGAAGAACGCCUGGUGGUUAAUACCCAUCAGGAAAGACAUCACUCACAGAAGAAGCACCGGCUAACUCCGUGCCAGCAGCCGCGGUAAUACGGAGGGUGCGAGCGUUAAUCGGAAUUACUGGGCGUAAAGCGCGCGUAGGUGGCUUGAUAAGCCGGUUGUGAAAGCCCCGGGCUCAACCUGGGAACGGCAUCCGGAACUGUCAAGCUAGAGUGCAGGAGAGGAAGGUAGAAUUCCCGGUGUAGCGGUGAAAUGCGUAGAGAUCGGGAGGAAUACCAGUGGCGAAGGCGGCCUUCUGGACUGACACUGACACUGAGGUGCGAAAGCGUGGGUAGCAAACAGGAUUAGAUACCCGAGUAGUC